GUGUCAGCCGCCGCGGUAAUACGUAGGGUCCGAGCGUUGUCCGGAAUUACUGGGCGUAAAGCGUGCGCAGGCGGUGAUGUAAGACAGUUGUGAAAUCCCCGGGCUCAACCUGGGAACUGCAUCUGUGACUGCAUCGCUGGAGUGCGGCAGAGGGGGAUGGAAUUCCGCGUGUAGCAGCGAAAUGCGUAGAUAUGCGGAGGAACACCGAUGGCGAAGGCAAUCCCCUGGGCCUGCACUGACGCUCAUGCACGAAAGCGUGGGGAGCAAACAGGAUUAGAUACCCUGGUAGUCCACGCCCUAAACGAUGUCAACUGGUUGUUGGGUUUUUAUUAACUCAGUAACGAAGCUAACGCGUGAAGUUGACCGCCUGGGGAGUACGGCCGCAAGGUUGAAACUCAAAGAAAUUGACGG
RNAcentral lists this ribosomal RNA (411 nucleotides) under uncultured bacterium. Its description in RNAcentral is "bacterial SSU rRNA". It matches the Rfam family "Bacterial small subunit ribosomal RNA", at positions 505 to 916 of the family's 1533-position model. The record is from RNAcentral.